This 472-nucleotide non-coding RNA is filed under the name Pongo abelii (Sumatran orangutan). The record is from RNAcentral. Lineage: Eukaryota; Metazoa; Chordata; Mammalia; Primates; Hominidae.
GGAAAGGAGGGCCAAGUAGAGCCUCCACGACCCUCGGCUGCCUCCUCACCAUCUCCCCCUCCUCCCAAGUCCAGUAAGAAGUUGGGCCAUGCUGGAAGGGAUUGACCGGGUUGCUUGUCUGGAGACAGAGCCACUACGGGCAGGGCCUGGGCGCCUGGAGUCGGGCAUGAAAGGAAAUAGCGCCUCAUCGCUCUUAUCUAAGCCCAGAGGUCUACUUCGCUUGAAAAGAUCGAGAAUGGGGGAGGGGAUCGUCACUCACUUGCAGACAUCAACAGUUUCCAGAAAACUCGGUUCAAUUCCUUCACCACGGACCCACCAACCAAGGAGCUGGCAAGACCCACCAGCCAACCAGGAGAACACAGACCCGGUUUGUCUUUUGACAACCGAGUGGAACUGACGGGGCCGGCGCCUGCCCUGCGGGUCCCCUCCCUUGGCUGAGAAGAAAACCAAAUAAACCUUGAACAGCCUUGGC